RNAcentral lists this ribosomal RNA (250 nucleotides) under uncultured prokaryote. Its description in RNAcentral is "partial 16S ribosomal RNA". It matches the Rfam family "Bacterial small subunit ribosomal RNA", at positions 524 to 774 of the family's 1533-position model. The record is from RNAcentral.
UACGUAGGGAGCGAGCGUUAUCCGGAUUCAUUGGGCGUGAAGCGCGCGUAGGCGGUCGUGUAAGCGGAACCUCUAAUCUGAGGGCUCAACCCCCAGCCGGGUUCCGAACUGCAUGACUCGAGUGUGGUAGGGGUGGAUGGAAUUCCCGGUGUAGCGGUGAAAUGCGCAGAUAUCGGGAAGAACACCGAUGGCGAAGGCAGUCCACUGGGACAUCACUGACGCUGAGGUGCGAAAGCGUGGGGAGCGAACA